Non-coding RNA from Schizosaccharomyces pombe (fission yeast), 926 nucleotides. Lineage: Eukaryota; Fungi; Ascomycota; Schizosaccharomycetes; Schizosaccharomycetales; Schizosaccharomycetaceae. The record is from the annotation of a GenBank genome assembly.
CGGUGAUAAAACAAAGAAUCAACUGUAAUGCAUAUACCGGUUAUAAGGAGAGCAACAAAAAUAGCCUUAAACCAUCUGCAAAAUAAAUGUCGAAACCUUCCUUUCAAAUCUACGAGCUCGAGAAGAAUAAAUGGGAUAGACAAAGCCGCUGAAAAAGGCCAGCCAAUGACAGCACCUAUUGUGAUGAACGAUACGACUUUUACAGUCCGCUUAGUUGAAGGAGGACUAAGUUGGGCAGAAAGAGCCAAUGUUACCAUGUUCAUUGCGAAUGAAGAUGGUAGAAAGCUCGUACUAGCUGACCACAUUCCAGAAUUGACAAACAAAACAGAAGUAAGAUGUAGGGCCACUGCACGAUUGAAAUUUCUAGCAACAGCUAAAAUGAGAUUUGUCUCACAAAAAGCAGAAAAGCAAGCCAACACGCCACGAAUAAAAUAAAAUACAUGUAGGCGGCUUAAACCUAAUCCACGAGCAAGAAACCCAGGAACAGCAUGCAAAGCUAUGUAAAACCAACUACGGAUGGCAUAUUCGGGAGAAUACUCCCAUGUUUGCAAGCCGUAACCGUAUAAUAAAUAAUGCAACGGCUCCCAAUAGUUAUAUACCUCGUCACAAUCAUCGAUUACUCGAAAUGAAGCAGAAGUAAGACGCAAAACUGCUAAAAUGCUGAAAGUCCAAACAAAAGAAACAGAAAGUGACUUCCUUGGCGCUUUCGAAGGCAUUAUCAAAUUAAAUUGAAGUGAAAAGCCAAAAAAUAAGAAAUGGGCAGAAAUAAAAAGACUGAAAUAAACGUAAAAGAAAUGAGAAAAAGUUUCAAUUAGUGUACCUAGCGGAACGAUGAAUAUUAUUGAAAAAAGCUUUCAUAAAUUUGAUACACCAAUUAAAACGGUAAGGUUUAUGCACUAAGACGCUAAUUCAAAGGAUAGCACUCA